UACGAAGGGGGCUAGCGUUGCUCGGAAUCACUGGGCGUAAAGGGUGCGUAGGCGGGUCUUUAAGUCAGGGGUGAAAUCCUGGAGCUCAACUCCAGAACUGCCUUUGAUACUGGGGAUCUCGAGUCCGGGAGAGGUGAGUGGAAUUGCGAGUGUAGAGGUGAAAUUCGUAGAUAUUCGCAAGAACACCAGUGGCGAAGGCGGCUCACUGGCCCGGUACUGACGCUGAGGUGCGAAAGCGUGGGGAGCAAACAGG
RNAcentral lists this ribosomal RNA (253 nucleotides) under uncultured bacterium. Its description in RNAcentral is "partial 16S ribosomal RNA". It matches the Rfam family "Bacterial small subunit ribosomal RNA", at positions 524 to 776 of the family's 1533-position model. The record is from RNAcentral.